Long non-coding RNA from Haplochromis burtoni (Burton's mouthbrooder), 2415 nucleotides. RefSeq lists it as uncharacterized. The record is from RefSeq and is a predicted model, not a curated record. The transcript has 3 exons. Lineage: Eukaryota; Metazoa; Chordata; Actinopteri; Cichliformes; Cichlidae.
UGCCUUGGGCAUUUUUAAUCUGUAGCUCUGCUCUAAAAGAACGUACGUACUUGGGCCCACCUACUACGCUUGCAAAGGUAAAAUGAUUGGCUAGAAUCCAAAUUGUAUGACAUUUCAGGGGAAAAACGCACCGAAGUAAAGCACCGAAAUGUGCUCUGCUUUUCGGUCUGGUUACUACCGUUUAUGUCAGAACCGUGCCAUAAUGGCACCGGAUACCGGUGCCCAUCCCUAGUUCAGAACUCGAUGAAAACAAAUUAAAGGAACUUUUUGUUUGCUGGAGUUUUUCCAGCAUCUGUCAUCAGUCCUUGAAUGCAACACAAGGAACAUAACUUGACAGUCUGGGCAGCACAGUGCAUAACCAUGAGAGCAAUUGUUCCUUGGAGAUAUACAGGGAUAUAAAUAUGUAAAAAAUCUCAAAACAUAUAAAUAUUUGAGGACAAAAAUUUUGCAUUUUUCUAGUUCUUGAAGUGUGCUUUGUGACUCUUUGGCUGCCAAAAUAUACACAAGAAAAGAAGAAGAAGAGAUGAUCGCCGAGACUCAGUCAUUAGAAUGAGAAGCAAAAACCAAUUCCACCUGUGGGUGGAUUCCCCUCAUCGUCCAGGGGGGAAGUUAGAAAAGGUUUCAUUUUAUCACAGCAAAGUAUUUUUCCCUUAACCUACAAACGCGAUACAGGGCUGGUCUCAGGUGAGACAUUGACUUUAUUAUGAAUCUAUAAUCUCUACUCAUCUAGCCUCACAUGAUUAGUAAAAAGUUGUUAUUUAGGCACUGAUGGGUGUUUUAUUGUUGUCUUGGCAAUAAUAAAAUGAGAGCUGAUUGGCAAAGUCCUCCAAAUUACUCUAUAAUAUACACGAUUUUCCACUGACUUCCUCAGUCUGUUCAGGUGUGUUUGAGAUAAAAUGAUAAAAAUCCAGUCAAUAAUUAACUCAGUACUUAGCACAGCAGCUUGACUCUCGUGGGCUCAGACAUGCAGCAAUCUCCAUCAGCAGGGGCAGCAUCAGGCACCGUGGUCGUGGUUUUACCGCGGUACUACAUCACCAGAAAGCAACUGCCAGCACUGGGGGUGAGACACCUUUACAUCCUGAUGGGGUCAGAUUGAAUCCAGACAGAGAUGAUUAAACCACUGAUCUUUAACCUGUGGAUGCUGAAGGCAUGUGAUUCACAACCACGCUGCUGCUCUGCUGUCGAUCUCUGAGCUGACUUUAAUGACAGAGGACGUCUGUCCUCAGAGGCUUUUGGAUUACCUUGGAAAAUAAUCUCUGUUGGAAAUUAAAGUUCAGAAAGAUGAUGUCCAGAAGACAAGCUAAAUGUGAAUACAGACUCGUGUUACCGGUUAGUUCAAACUUCCUCUCAGCACAAAGUGUAAGGAUGUGGUUCAGUAAAUGUGGAGAUAACAUCUUUGGCAUCAUGACAACUUCAUCAGGGACAAUUUAAACAGGACUAGAAGUUGGAGGUCAGCUGAUUGUUAAUGACUUGGCGGGAACAUCUGACUUUCAAGCAUAAAUGUUUCAAAUGUUAAAGUGUUUCUUUCAUCAUCUCUUUGGCAUCACUUGUUCUUACAAAGGCUGAAUGAGCCAAAGGCUCUGAAUGUUUCCUCUGAGACUUUAUGUCUUCCUGCAGGUGAUUCAGAUCAUAGUUGCUCUGACUGUCAUGGUCUUUGGGAUCCUGAGGGCAACACGGUCCAAAGGUCUGGUCUCUGAUUGCAUGGUGUACAUCUGGGGACCAGUGAUGUUCAUCAUAGCUGGGUGUAUGACGAUCUAUGAUGGGACUUCACAGAGACCUAAGAGUAAGAGUGCUGUGGUUCUAAAUGUUGCUGCUGGUGUGACUUAACUUGUCACAGCGACGGUCUUCUUCCUGGAUGCAUCUCAAGCAUUUACCAACAGCGACCCUGGGGAGUCAGACCUGGACAUAGUGAGCUUUUUUCUUUCAUGUUAAAUUAAAUGAGAAUGUGUAUUUAGAGCACAGGUGAAUGCGGACUGGCUGUAACAGCUGUGACCUAGCUGCAGAGGUCUGUGGAGCAGAGAUUAUAGGUGUUUGACCAACAUGCUGAAGAGAAGAGAAACUGUUUCAAAUUUUUAGUUAGGGCAAGGGAACAUCAGCAGCCUGUUUUUCUUUCUUUCAGUCCAGCCAGGCAAUUUCAGGUUUUUCAGCCAUUCUCUGCUUGAUCCAGCUGAUGUUGUGUGGCUGUUCUGCAGGAGUAGGCAAACCUGGAGGUUGCUGUGAUCCCACACGUCAGGUGAUUCUAUCUACGGAGUUUUCCUCAGAUCAGUUUAUUAGCUACAGCUGACUAAACAUAAUGUAAUUCAGUUCUAUUCAGUUUUAUUUAUGUAAUCCAAAAUGAUGACAACAGUUGCCUCAAGGUGCUUUAUAUUGUACAAAACGAUGCUACGAUAAUACAAAGAAACCUCAGUAAUCAGA